Ornithodoros turicata is the source of this 676-nucleotide long non-coding RNA. RefSeq lists it as uncharacterized. Lineage: Eukaryota; Metazoa; Arthropoda; Arachnida; Ixodida; Argasidae. The transcript is spliced from 3 exons. The record is from RefSeq and is a predicted model, not a curated record.
AUCUUCUGAUUGGUCGGUUUGGCGAACGCUGGGUGGGGUACGUUGCAUGAGAUGCUCUGGAGAUGGCGCCCCAACCGCGGACUUUUGAUCUUUUGAGCUAGCAACACAGCACGAGGAGUGCGUCAUAAGGAGGAGGAGUUCCGUGGGGAAGGAAGCGAAGGAAGCCAACGGGGCAUGCAACGGGGAGACGAACUACGUUCUAUUGGCGCCGCGUAACGCUACGCGAAGCGGACGCGGCACUUUGGAAGACUGAUUCUGCUUACCGACACGAUGGACAUAGGAGACAACUGAAGGUGGGACAUCGUAGUUCAAAACCAGGCUUACACCCUUAAAAUCAAUACCACGGGCCAUGAGAUCCGUGCAGAUGAGAACCCAGAUCUUUCCAGAGCGGAAGCUUCGAAUCACGUUAUCACGUUGCGUAAGCGUCCGCUCAGAAUGAAUAACGUCAACAUUGAUGCCAUCGUAGAUGAGCUCAUCGAACAGCUCUCGGGCUCUCUCCUUGCUCUGUGUGAAGACCAGGACAGGGGGCUGCAGGCCCUAUGGAUUAGAACAAGAAAUCGGGCAAACAACAAAAAAGGAUGACAUAUGAAUCAAGAAUGGACUUCCAUUGAUCCUUCGGCAUGAUACUUGGGCUGCAUUCAUCUUCAAUGACAAUAGCACUGUUGUUAACACUUGA